AUGCUGUUCCUAAUACUGUCAGGUUUUGUACCUCUGAUGGUGUUAUUUCUGAGAUCUGCAACUGCUUAUAAUACUGUGUUUCUUGAUAUUGUUCCCAAAGCCCCGAUGACUACAGGGACCACUGAAGUAUGUUUCAUCCAGAAGAAAGAUUUUUUGAUUGCCAGGUCUCUGUACUUUGUUAGUUAUUAUUAUCUGUACAGUACUUUUGUUGUUGUAUUCAGUGAUCCUGCUUUUUCUCUGCAGCUCUUGGAGGAGAAGGAUGGCUACCAUUACAUCAGAAGUAACUGGAUGUUCCAGAAACUGCAUUUCCCAGAAAAUUGUCCAGGCUUUGCCAGCAUUUCAUGACUUUAUGGAUUCUCAGUGUCAUGGAGGUGACAAGAGAGGAACAUGGCAUUCCCUUACUUCUUGGGCAUUAAAGCAAAACCAGCAGCCACAACACUACCCUGUAAUGCACAGCAGAAGGGGGAAGAGUUUAAGCAUUAGAUGUCUGCCCAGUGUUGGCAGACUGUGACCCAGAGAUGCAUACCUUUCCGUUUAGCGAUGAAAUGGGAAACAAAGCCACCCUACUUUUGCUUGCCACUUUUAAAUGUUUGAAAGCCGCAGAUUUCUGGGUCUGGAAACACCAGGAACUAGAUGAGAUGCUAAUUCCUUACCAAAGGUACUAUUUUAAUUGGCUACGAUUUGUGGAAACUGUUUGUGUGUGUUUCCUGAAUCCUAGUCCGUCAUUAUAUCCGCUACACCACAUUGUGCCAAAACUGUAGAUUAGCAUCAUCUGUGCCCUCAUGGUAAUGUAUAAAAUAUACAAGCAACACUUUUCCUGCAACUAAACCUUGGGGUUUGUUUGCCCUAUGAGCUAGCAUAACAUCACAGCUGAGCUGGCACCAGCUUUUCUUCCCAACUUCCCAGACCGGUUAUGUAGCUAAUGAGAAGGAGUCUAAGAUGGGUUCAUGCUUGAAAUCUCUUCUCUUGAUACAUUGGACGCCUCCACCACUGCCAGCUGACGUCCAGGUUUGGGACAUCUCUCUCCUGCCAAGUGGAUUACAUCAUUGCUAAGGAAAGAUGGCUGCAUGGAUCACUGUUAGAAGACACGGGUUCAGGAUCUGGCACAUUCUGAGCCCUGAUAAGACUUGUACCUUAUAACCUAGAUAAGGUUUUAAUUGUCUAUAGGCAGUGGAAGAAGCAGGAUCUGAGGUACCUUCCUUCCCCUUCAGCAGCAGAGUUUGUAAAAGAUCUUUCUUGGACUACAACUCCCAGAAUCCCCCAAAGCAACAAGGCCAAUUGCCUGUCUGUGACCCCCUAAAGGCAGAAAUACAUUUUGCUCUUUCAUGUGAGAGCUAAAGUCUUUCAAUCUAUAACCUAGGACUUUUUUGUCCUCGGGACACAAGAAAUGUAGAAUUUAUUUUAAUACUAUUAGAACGGCAGAGCUGGAAGGGACCCUCUGGAUUAUCAAAUCUAGUCUGUUUCAGGGAGGCCCAGUGGGGAAUUGAACCCCCCAGUCUCUGGCUCCACAGUCAGAUACCUAAAACACUGAGCUAUCCAGCAUGGUAUGUAGGCUUACAUAAACUAUUUUAUAUCUCUUUCUGAAAACAAAUAUUCCAGAAUACUUUCCUCCAUCAAUUUUCCAUUAAAAAAACCAAACAAACAAACAAAGCUUCUGGGACAAACAAUAACAACAACUAGGAAAACUUUUUUUCCUGAAUUUUCCCAAUUUUCAUCCCCGUGCUUCAUGUCUCUAGAUUCUGGGAGCUGUGGUGUGCCAAAGAAAUGCUCCUAGUUCAAAAAGUUCAGCUUCCUGAAGUUGUCCCACCCAACCACCUUCGGUGCAAUAGACCUGUUCCACCAGUGCUGUGAGAGGGCCGAGAACUGAAACAGAAAACAUGUAGAGGAGCGGUGGCUGCUGCCUCCCACUCCGUCUAGGAGAUUUUAAAGGCACCUCAGGUCUGCCUAGGUUACAAAAUGGCUUCCUUAGUCCUUCCUCCCUUACUUGUAGUCCAGCACGGCUGACGUGGGAAGCCUGCUUACACUUUGAGUGAGACCACAUACGUACCUCAGCAAGAGAGCAGAUCUUUUACACACUGGUGCCCCCCGGGGAAGCUCCCCCCCCCCGAUAGUGGAAAUUACUACCAAGUAAACGUCCACUGAUUGUUGGGCAAAGGAGGGGAGUGUUAUUGUACCCUCUCUGUUUUAGUGCAACUGGCAGUUGUUUUAAAAGUCACACGGCUGUUGUUCCUGUUGGAAGUAAUACUUCUCAUUUCAUCUGUGCUUAAUUAGCAUGUAUGAAUUAUAUCAAGCUCUCGUAACCCAGCUUUUGCACAAAUUACUUUGUUUAUCCUGGUGGUUGCCAGUCCCAUUGUAUUGGUAUAAUGUGCAUGAGGCAAUCUCAUUGAAUCUGCUCAGAGCUGAAGAGAGUUAUCUGAAAUGGAGGAAAUAGCCAAAAGAUGUGAAUCUGAUCCAGACAGUGGUGAUCUGAAGAAGACAAAAGUUCUCCAAGUUCUCCAUAUCUGGAAAGCUGAUUGACUUUUUCUACCAUCAGAGAGCAGCUAACAUUUCGUUUUAGCAGUGCCUUGUCUCUGUGUUAUGUUGUUGUUGUUGUUUAGUCAUUACCUCUGUGUUAUGUUAUUGUUGUUGUUGUUUAGUCAUUAAGUCGUGUCCGACUCUUCGUGAUCCCAUGGACCAGAGCACGCCAGGCCCUCCUGUCUUCCACUGCCUCCUGGAGUUGGGUCAAAUUCAUGUUGGUCGCUUCGAUGACACUGUCCAACCAUCUCGUCCUCUGUCGUCCCCUUCUCCUCUUGCCCUCGCACUUUCCCAAUAUUAGGAUCUUUUCCAGGGAUGUUAUGUUAUGUUACAUGCCAUCAAGUCAGAACCAACAUACAACAGCCUUAAUAGGGCUUUCAAGGCAAGUGAGAUAUUUAAGGAGCGGUUUUAUCAGUUCCACACCCCCAGUGCGUUUCCAUGGCUGAGCGGGGAUUCAAACUCAGGCCUGCCAAGACCUAGUCCAUCAUUUUAUCCCAAUAGUUCCCAGCCUUGGGUCCCCAGAUGCUCUUGGACUAAAACUCUAAGAAGUCUUCACUACUAACCAUGCUGGCCAGGAUUUCUGGGAAUUGUAGUUCAAGAACAUUUGGGGAUCCAGGGUUGGGAGCCACUGCUGUAUCUGCUGCAUCACACUGGGUACCCUGCUUGUUUCUUUAGCAGUAGGGAUUUCUUCAGUUAAACAUAAAAUAGUGGCCUUACUGGGUACAUAGGCCUCACCCCAAUGCAAUUCUGAAUCCUGGCCAGCAGCUGUUUGUGUAGACAAAAAUAAAACCAUAUUUUAGCCUAUCA
This 3321-nucleotide long non-coding RNA is filed under the name Pogona vitticeps (central bearded dragon). RNAcentral's name for it is "lncRNA (ENSPVIG00000005900.1)". The record is from RNAcentral. Lineage: Eukaryota; Metazoa; Chordata; Lepidosauria; Squamata; Agamidae.